Molecule: ribosomal RNA, 309 nt
Filed under: Babesia caballi
Lineage: Eukaryota; Apicomplexa; Aconoidasida; Piroplasmida; Babesiidae
Description: SSU rRNA
Rfam family: Eukaryotic small subunit ribosomal RNA
Source: RNAcentral
ACAAUUGGAGGGCAAGUCUGGUGCCAGCAGCCGCGGUAAUUCCAGCUCCAAUAGCGUAUAUUAAACUUGUUGCAGUUAAAAAGCUCGUAGUUGAAUUUCUGCGUUGCGUUAUUCUUGCUUUUUGCUGGACUUUCGCUUCGCUUUUUUGUUUUACUUUGAGAAAAUUAGAGUGUUUAUCGCAGACUUUUGUCUUGAAUACUUCAGCAUGGAAUAAUAGAGUAGGACCUUGGUUCUAUUUUGUUGGUUUUUGAGCCUUGGUAAUGGUUAAUAGGAACGGUUGGGGGCAUUCGUAUUUAACUGUCAGAGGUG